AACUCUCAAGAAUCAAACACUUU
This 23-nucleotide small nuclear RNA is filed under the name Arabidopsis thaliana (thale cress). RNAcentral describes it as "snRNA_10585". Lineage: Eukaryota; Viridiplantae; Streptophyta; Magnoliopsida; Brassicales; Brassicaceae. The record is from RNAcentral.